UCCGUAGGUGAACCUGCGGAAGGAUCAUUCAUAAUAAGUGUUUUAUGGCACUUUUUUAAAUCCAUAUCCACCUUGUGUGCAAUGUCAGGGUUGAUUUUCUCUCGAGAGGAUCAACCCCAAACAUCAACUAUUAUCUCAACUCUUUGUCUGAAAAAUAUUAUGAAUAAAACAAUUCAAAAUACAACUUUCAACAACGGAUCUCUUGGCUCUCGCAUCGAUGAAGAACGCAGCGAAAUGCGAUACGUAAUGUGAAUUGCAGAAUUCAGUGAAUCAUCGAAUCCUUGAACGCACAUUGCACUCUCUGGUAUUCCGGAGAGUAUGCUUGUUUGAGUAUCUGUAAACAUCUCAAAUCUCUCGACUUUCGAGUUUGAGAGAAUUGGACUUGAGCAAUCCCAACUCCUUCGUCAGAAAGAGGAGGGUUGCUUGAAAUGCAGGUGCAGCUGGGCAUUCUUCUGAGCUAAAAGCAUAUUUAUUUAGUCCCGUCAAACGGAUUAUUAUUCUUGCUUCAGCUUACAUAAAGGUUGAAUGACUACCGAGGCUGAUUGCAGGUAAACUCGUUCCGUAAAAAAGAACUUGUGAACUCGAUCUCAAAUCAAGUAAGACUACCCGCUGAACUUAAGCAUAUCAAUAAGCGGAGGA
This 639-nucleotide ribosomal RNA is filed under the name uncultured fungus. RNAcentral describes it as "eukaryotic LSU rRNA". The stretch from base 183 to 336 matches the Rfam family "5.8S ribosomal RNA". Lineage: Eukaryota; Fungi. The record is from RNAcentral.